UGUCAUUCAAAGAUGUGGCUGUGGAUUUCACCCAGGAGGAGUGGCGGCAACUGGACCCUGAUGAGAAGAUAGCAUACGGGGAUGUGAUGUUGGAGAACUACAGCCAUCUAGUUUCUGUGGGGUAUGAUUAUCACCAAGCCAAACAUCAUCAUGGAGUGGAGGUGAAGGAAGUGGAGCAGGGAGAGGAGCCGUGGAUAAUGGAAGGUGAAUUUCCAUGUCAACAUAGU
This 227-nucleotide long non-coding RNA is filed under the name Homo sapiens (human). RNAcentral's name for it is "non-protein coding lnc-HIP1-1:10". Lineage: Eukaryota; Metazoa; Chordata; Mammalia; Primates; Hominidae. The record is from RNAcentral.